This 426-nucleotide ribosomal RNA is filed under the name Vibrio vulnificus. Its description in RNAcentral is "bacterial SSU rRNA". It matches the Rfam family "Bacterial small subunit ribosomal RNA", at positions 13 to 435 of the family's 1533-position model. The record is from RNAcentral. Lineage: Bacteria; Pseudomonadati; Pseudomonadota; Gammaproteobacteria; Vibrionales; Vibrionaceae.
UUGAUCAUGGCUCAGAUUGAACGCUGGCGGCAGGCCUAACACAUGCAAGUCGAGCGGCAGCACAGAGAAACUUGUUUCUCGGGUGGCGAGCGGCGGACGGGUGAGUAAUGCCUGGGAAAUUGCCCUGAUGUGGGGGAUAACCAUUGGAAACGAUGGCUAAUACCGCAUGAUGCCUACGGGCCAAAGAGGGGGACCUUCGGGCCUCUCGCGUCAGGAUAUGCCCAGGUGGGAUUAGCUAGUUGGUGAGGUAAGGGCUCACCAAGGCGACGAUCCCUAGCUGGUCUGAGAGGAUGAUCAGCCACACUGGAACUGAGACACGGUCCAGACUCCUACGGGAGGCAGCAGUGGGGAAUAUUGCACAAUGGGCGCAAGCCUGAUGCAGCCAUGCCGCGUGUGUGAAGAAGGCCUUCGGGUUGUAAAGCACUU